GACAAAAUAUCUUGGAGCCUUAAUUGAUUCAAUUUAAUGUCGUUUUGUUGAUAUGAAUGUCACUAUUUUAAUUUGUAUUUAUGUGGAUUUUGGGUGUUUGGGGCACCACCAUUUUUCCUUGAUAUAUAUAUUCUUUAAUUCUUAAAAGUUCUAUCAUUGUAUCACUUCAUCAGUACAUUCAGCAUUAUAACCACCUACCCUGUUCUCCCCAUUUGACCACUGAAAGAACCUGCACAGCAGCAGAAGACCAGCAGGAGCAGAGCGAGAGCACCAGGAGACAAUUGUUGGUGCACCAGGAGCAAGGCCCUGCAAUGCAGCUGAUGAGCCCAUUUACCCAGAUGAUUCAGCCUGCCCAGCAGCUGAACAGCAUGGCCGCAGGUGUAAAGCAGACACACCAGGACUUGGAGGAUGGCCGAUCUAUCUAUGUUCCAGCACUUACUGUUUUUGGAGAGGGAAGUAUUCCCCUCCUGUGUGAAAGCCAAGGGGGAAUGCCUCCGUGAAGAAGGUGCCUUCCAUCAGCAGAUGUGACAAGUCCCAAGAAGUUGGUAUCCUAUCAGUUAAAUAAUGGCACUGGGGCAUGGAUGUUGUGGCCAAGAUUCAUCAGUAUACUUUUGUAUCCAACACAAUGGAACCGGGAUGAUCCUGCUGCUGCUACCCUCUAUGCCAUCAAAAAUCUUUCCCAACCCUCACCAUCUGUAGCAUUUUUAGCUGUACAAGGGUCUACAGGAGAAGAGGUCACCAACUGUGACAUGAGUGCCAGGAUCCCAUAGAAGUAUCCUGGCCCAUGAGCUGGUGAUUUUAAAGAGGAAAGUCUCAUGCAUCAUCUACACUUGACACCUCCAUUUUAGGCUAGCUUCAGAAAGCUGUUUGAAAGGCAAAGUUUCUCUUUCCUUACCAUUGACCAUUGUCUGGAUACAGCAGAACGAAAUGAGUGCCACAUAGCAAGAGUUACAAAACUCAAGAGUGGAAAAGCAGCUGAGAUUUGAUUUUUUUUUUUGUAUUUCAAAGACCCCUAAAGCUAUGAACAAAUCUAGACUUUUGUGAGGUAGAUACAUUAGUAGUCACAACAGCUGGAGGAAAUUCGCAAAUGUUUCCAUUUAUAUUUUGCCAGUUAACUUUCCUAAUGGUAUUUUACACACAAAGCAUUAUGAAAGCUCCAUAAUUGAGACAGACAGACACUUAAAAAAUUUAACAAGGAAAUUAAGUUGUACCUGCCUUAACGCAAUCAUUUGCCAUAGCCUUAGAACACAUGUGCCUGUAACUGCAGUGCCAGAAUAUCACAUGAUUCUUUGAUUUUAUGCCUGGCAUUUGAAUUACGGCGGUUGCAAAAUGCAAAGGACAUAAUUCUCAGCAGGGCAAACAGCUGUAUCAGGGAAUGGUUUUGAUCAGAAAAAUUGGAGAAGGGGAGGGUUAGUCCCAGUACCUUCAUCUAGUUGAGUGUUGGCGUGGAAUUGCAGAUGCUUUUAAGGUUAAAAAACAUUGGGAGAUCCUAUAAAGAAAGGCCUCAUGUCCUUUGGUUCUGCGUUUGAAAUAUCCAGAUGUAUAUUUUGAAAGUGCAUUGUUUAUAUUUCAAACAGGAUAACUUUUAUUACAUUUGCCACAUGUUGAAGCUCAUUGCUUCUAUUAUAGGUGUGGCUGAUUAGAGAUUUACAUGUGAAAGACGGAAGUGGCUACCGUUGCCUUUUAUCAAGUAGACAAGGUAUAGUGGCAAUUAAGAGGGUGCAACUGGGGUUCUUUAACCCUUCCCUCAAAUGGGUAGGAUUAGUUUUUUUUGGAACACAUCUGAUCGUGCAACAUGUUUCCCAGAGAAAACUUUAAGCACUUGUGGCGUUCACCCAGGUCAUAUGCUAUCUGCAUGGACCAAUGAGAGUGCUGGAGAGGCGGAGUCACGAGAUAUAAGAUUCUCUGCGGGAGGAGGGGGAGAUUAGAUUGGAAUUUGAGGGGAGUUGAGAAGGGAGGUUUUGGAAUUGGGAGUUUGGAGUGGAGAGAGAGAGAGAGGGUUGGUGGUUGAGGGUGGAUGAAGUGGGAUGUUUGGUUAAGAGUUAAAGACAUUGAUUGUACCUUCAUCACCUGUAUUAAUAAACAACUUCUAUUUGGUUCUAUUUAAAAUGAU
Molecule: long non-coding RNA, 2113 nt
Filed under: Pogona vitticeps (central bearded dragon)
Lineage: Eukaryota; Metazoa; Chordata; Lepidosauria; Squamata; Agamidae
Description: lncRNA (ENSPVIG00000016126.1)
Source: RNAcentral